RNAcentral lists this small RNA (7820 nucleotides) under Mytilus galloprovincialis (Mediterranean mussel). Lineage: Eukaryota; Metazoa; Mollusca; Bivalvia; Mytilida; Mytilidae. The record is from RNAcentral.
AUGGAAACUUACGCCUUCACAAGUUUGCCUCUAAUUGUGCGGAAGUUAUGUCUGCAUUUCAUGCCAGUGAUUUGGCUUCAAAUCUUAAAAGAUCUAGACUUAGAAUGCGACAGUAAACCCUUACAACGUAGCCUUGGACUCAGCUGGGAUGUAAACACUGACAAUUUCUUAUUUCAAUUAUCAUCUGAAAACAAACCAAUAACUCGGAGAGGAAUUUUAUCGACGAUAAACAGUCUCUACGAUCCUCUUGGAUUUUUGGCUCCUGUGAUUAUAAAAGGGAAACUACUAUUAAGGAAAAUAGUAUCAGAAACCGUCGAUUGGGACCAACCUCUCUCUGAUGACACAGCAGCUGAGUGGAAAUCUUGGAGAGAUACUUUAAAUUGCUAUCGAAACAUUGCGCAUUCCACGUACUUACGUGCCGUAUCUCAGCAAAACAGCCACAAAGGAGUUGCAUGUCUUCUCUGAUGCAUCAGAAAAAGCCAUAGCAGCUGUUGCAUAUCUACGCACGACCGACAGUAGUGGUGAACCUAACAUAGGGUUCAUUCUUGGGAAAGCUAAAGUUGCACCAACGAGUGGUCACACUAUUCCACGACUUGAAUUAUCUGCUGCUGUAUUAGCAGUUGAGAUUACACACAAACCAUUGUGGAUAAUUUAGAUUUACAUAUAGACACCGUGAAAUUCUACACAGACAGUAAAGUUGUCUUAGGUUACAUCAGUAAUGAGACAAGAAGGUUCUUUAUCUAUGUCGCCAAUAGAGUAGAGAAAAUAAGGAAAUUUAGCUCUCCAAGUCAAUGGAAUUACGUACCAACUAACCGUAAUCCCGCAGAUUCGGGAACAAGGUCCGUACCAGCCCACGAAAUUCAUAGCAGUGAAUGGUUAUUGGGACCAAGACAACUUCUUUCCUCAGAACAGAAGAAUUCUGAGGACAUAUAUCAGCUAAUAGAUCCAGAGGAAGAUGGAGAAAUUCGUGCAACUGUUAAUGUUGCAAAAACAUUUGCCACACUUGAACAUAAAGGUAUCGGAACUGAAAGAUUCAACAGAUUCUCAAACUGGACAUCACUUGUGCGAGCGAUAGCCUUUUUAGAACGUUUCUCCCGUUUACACGGGUCAAAACAGGCAGCACCAGUGACCUCUCUGGAAGGCUUUUCGAAUGCCGAAAAUUUCAUCUUAAUAUCUGCUCAAUAUGAAGUUUACGGCGAUGAAAUAGAUUGCAUUAAACGUCGGGAACAAAUUCAUAAGCGGAGCCCGAUAGCUAACCUCAAUCCGUUUGUGGACGAACGAGGACUAUUACGAGUAGGAGGCCGUAUUGCCAAAUCUGACUUAAACCUCCGUGAAAAGAAACCAUUGAUCGUCCCUGGACGCCAUCAUAUAGCGACAUUAUUAGUUCGACACUACCACGACACGAUAAAACAUCAAGGUCGCCAUUUCACAGAUGGAGCGAUUCGUUCCGCAGGAUUCUGGAUCGUCGGAGCUAAACGCUUGAUCUCUUCUAUCAUUCACAAAUGUGUGACAUGCCGCAAACUAAGAGGAAAAACUGAGUGUCAAAUCAUGUCUGAUUUGCCAGAGGACCGUCUUGAACCGUCACCUCCGUUUACCAACGUUGGAAUAGACACAUUUGGACCCUGGACAAUUGUUUCACGUAAAACACGCGGGUGGAUACGCAAACUCAAAACGUUGGGCAAUUCUUUUCACAUGCUUAGUGACUAGAGCUGUUCACAUCGAACUAAUCGAGGAAAUGAGCUCUUCAGCCUUCAUAAACGCCGUCAGAAGAUUCGCCGCUAUAAGAGGUCAAGUUAAAAUUUUCCGAUCCGACCGUGGAACAAACUUUAUUGGCGCAAUCGACGAUUUAAAGAUUGACUCAAUCAACGUUGAAGAUGGACCCUUCAAGAACUUUCUGUACAAUUCUGGUACAACUUGGAUCUUCAAUCCGCCGCAUUCGUCCCACAUGGGUGGAGCCUGGGAGAGAAUGAUUGGUAUCACCAGGAGAAUUCUUGAUUCUAUGCUUCUAAAUGCAGCCGGAAGAAGCCUUACGCAUGACGUGCUCAACACACUAAUGGCAGAAGUUUCAGCAAUAGUGAACUCUAGACCUCUGGUACCGGUUUCAACAGAUCCAGAGAAUCCGUUAAUAUUAACUCCAGCUAUGUUAUUGACACAGAAAACCGACUACAUAUUCACCUCAGAUCAUCUUGGAGAAUUCGAUAAACGAGAUCUAUGUCUUGCCGAAUGGAGACGAGUACAGGCUCUUGCCAGUGUUUUCUGGUCCCGUUGGAGGAAAGAGUACCUGCCGUUACUACAACAAAGACGAAAAUGGACCGAAGAUCGCCGUGAUCUCAUCGAAGGAGACGUCAUUCUUCUAAAGGACAAAAACCUUUGCCGUACCCAAUGGCCCGUUGGAAUUAUAGUGAACUCAUUUAAAAGUUCAGACGAACAUGUCCGAAAAGCAGAAGUGCGAGUAAUCGUUAAUGGAAAAGCCACAACCUACACACGCCCUAUCGUGGACAUGAUUCUUCUCAUCGAGAAUGACUGUGUAUAAUUAAUAUUAUAGUGAUACUUUGGAUUUAUAUAAUCAGAUAUUUUAGUGUGUGACAUAUUUGAAAUAGUGAUAUCAGUUAGACAUCAGACGGGGAGUAUUCUGUUCCACAUUCUAUGUUUAUUUUUUGUUUUCAUUUUAUCCGGAACAAAUUGAACUGGACCGAUUUCUUAAAUCACCGUAUUUAUCGACCACUUUUAAUUUCUGUGACACCGUCCGCAUCAAUAUUUCAACACAUGGAAAAUGGACGACAUUUCUACUUUCUGAGGAAAUCGUGACAUACCACUGUCAAGUACGUUUGAUUCAUUCAUAAACUGUGAUAAUUAAUCUGUUUAACUCCGAUAUUUUUGGAUAAGUGAUUUAUAAAUACAUACGAACUGUAAGUUAUUUAUUUCCGAGAAAUGAACUGUAAAUUCUACUUUCGUUUUUGACUCGAUUAAUACUCUUGUAUUUAACUUUCAUAUUUAAUUCGUACACAUUGUAAAAUAUUGUAUUUUUAUUUCUUUCAGUUUACCAAUCUACUGACUAUUAUGUAAACCUUUCUGGUGGAAUUUAUAAUUACAAUUUCAAACAAGUUGUGUUCGUUAUAUCUUCAUCGAGAUUGCGAUUGCAGUCACCUGGUUAAGCUAGUUGAGUCCGGCUCAGCAUAGAUAGAUAGUCUGCUAAUAAAGUACGAUCCCUCUUGAACAGAUGGAUACAGAUCGCGUAAAGCUUGUGCUUUCCUACUGGUAUCAUUUAAACAAUGAAAACAUAGAUAUUUCAGACAAUGAGCCAUAUCUACAGGAGGUAUAAUCAUACUUGGAUGUUCCACCUCUAGAUGCAGUUCUGCAAGGAUUAAAAAAGAAUGUUGUCGAUAUAAACAUCAUCAAUAUACCAAGGUGAAUUAUACCACAACGUUUACGAGACUUACAAUCAAACGUUUGAGCAUCAUUCUGUAUUCCUGUUUUCGUAUAGGUAAAUUUUCUUAGUAAAAUCUUUUCAGGUGUAUGAAAGCCAUUUUCAUAAUUGGCAAUACUUUAAAUAUACGAAAGAAGUCUCGAUUUGUUCUUUAAAUAUACAUGGUACAAUUAUAUUCAUGUCUUAAUACACUGAACCCACACAAGGCCUACAUUGACUAUCAACUGCAUGUAGAAAAAACAUGAUUCAAACUACAUGUAAACAUUUUAGUUUACGUGUACAUUACGCCAAAACAACACCGAGUUAAUGCCAAUGUGAACACGGCCUUAGUAAUUAAAAUCUAAUUCGAUGAUAAGAAAAACUCCGGUAAUUUGUUUAAUAGGUAGGAAUACAGUCAUUUUGCAUGAAUAAUUAAUUUGAUAAAAAAAAAAGAAGAUGUGGUAUGAUUGCCAAUAAGACAACUCUCCAAACGAGACCAAAAUGACACAGCAAUUUUAAACAAUAACAGGUCACCGAAUGGCCUUCAACAAUGACCAAAGCCCAUAUCGCAUAGUCAGCUUUAAAAGGCCCCGAAAUGACAAUGUAAAACAAUUCAAGAGAGAAAACUAUCUAUGUACAAAAAAAUGAACGAACAACAAAUAUGUAACACAUAAACAAACGAGUGUAGCGGGGUUGCUUCCCCUCCUUAGUACAGGUAGAACAUAUAAAGCUAGUCUUAAUCAACUGACCUAUGGAAUCGUUUCUUUGGCUCAGUGGGUUAACGCACUCACUGCCACGCAGGCGACCUGUGUUCGAAUCCCAGUUGUAACGAAAUAAAUUUGUAGAGUAGAUACAUGCCCUCCGUUUACACGACAACCACUGAAUUACAGCUCUAUUGUGAGUAACAGGGGAUCAUUAGCAUGUUAUCAGGUUAUAUACGAAUCAAAUGAUCGUACGAUAAACAACCGUUAGACGAUUGUGUUUUCUGACAAUAAGUUCAUUAGAGAGUACAUGGCACUACUAAAAAUAGAGGGUUCAAAAUCUACAUAUUAGCUUAUAUUGUACCGAUAAUAAUGUUGCUGACUUGGAAUAAUUCAAGGAUCAAAUACUGAAUAAGCUUAUUUGGUACGAUUUGACUUGAUGUGAAGUGUUGUUGAACUAACGUAUUGACGGAAUAUGGUAUCUCUAAAGUUAAUAUAUUAUUAAUCUUAGUGUUCCAAGUCAAGUUCUUAUCUCUAAACCUUCAUUUUCAAACAUAAUGGUUACAAAUUACUUGGCGUGGUUCCUCUUUAAUACUGUGACAAUCCUGUGUUCUGGCAAAUCUGAAUUUCUCCAAGAUGAUUUAAAAUAUAACGACUUGGAAGAGUUAAAAUGUACGUAUUGUAAAUCACUUGUACCUUUUAUUAUCUUAAAUGUUGCAAUAUUAUUUUUUGUAUUUUGUAUUUGUAUCGUGCUAGUUGACAAGUAAACAAUCCAAAGGAUGACAUGUCACCAUAUUCAGACACAUUAUCCUAGCCGUUAUCAUUCGUUCUUUCUCUAAAUAAUGUUGGGUACUUGGAGGAUGGCAGCAUAUAAAUUUUAGUCUUUGGCUGGACCCUACCAGGGAUUAAACGAAAGUCCUUCUUAUUUUGCGAGAACACUAGAAAGAGAACAACAAUGCGGUACUAGUAUAACUAAAUUGAAGCAUGUAGACCCCAAUCUAAAGCAUGUGCGUACAUUAUUUUACUAUACCCACACAACAGAGGUAAAUAUAAGAAGAUAUGGUAUGAGUGCCAAUGAGACAACUCUCCUUACAAAUCACAAUUUGUAAAUGUAAACCAUUAUACUAGUAGCUCAAAGUAUGGCCUUCAAAAUGAAGCCUUGGUUCACAGCGAACAGUGCCCCAAAAAAGACUAGUGUAAAACCCAGUUCAAACGAGAAAACCAACGGUCUAAGCGAUACCGGUAUACGAAAUAUUUUAUUAAAGAAACCUCAUUUAGGAACAUAAUCAUUAAUAGCAUCGAUACAACAAAGAAUAAUAUUUAAACAAUCUAACUGCAAUUAAUACUACACUAGUAUAUAAAAACGAGAAACGAAAAAUGAGAAGUGCACAUAUAUAACCGACCGUGCAAAACCCUCAUGGAAAGUCAAGGUCGUCGUUAACAACUCCCACUCGUCGUCGUCUCUCUAUUUGAUAAAAUCUUUUAUAAAAAAUGUGCUUUAUAUUUUGUUUAUAGAUAAGAUAAAGAUAAAUUGAUUGUAUCAAAGUGCCAUGUAUAAUUGAUCUUACACACCAGUAAAUAUUUACAAGUACAAUCACAUAAAAAAGAAGAUCGGCAUCCAGUCAUAAAGACUUGUGAGACAUCUUAUUGCUGUAUAUCAAAGUACUUUAAAAUGAUUUAAUUGGUAGUGUGUGCAAGUCGAGUGGUCAUGAUAACUUUUAAUAUCUUUUAUACUAAUGUUUUACAUUUCAAUUACAUACAUAUGCUGUGAAAUUAGAGCAACAUUAAUACUAUAUGUAAUGAUUUGUAAUGAUAUAAUCAAUUUUGACUAAACAUUGAUGAUUUUCCUACACAAUAUAGACAUUAUAAUCGCUCAUAAAAUUGUUUUUAAAUAUUGACUUCGAUACAUUUUUCAGCUGAUAUAAAGUUCCUUAAGAAAGAAUUUGUUCAGAUGAAAAUGGAAAAUAAACAGCUGCAAAAAGAUAACAAACGGUUGAGAGAAAAAAUAACAGACAUCAACCAAACUGUUGAGGAACUUAAGCAUGUUAAAAAGGAAAAAGAUGCAACAGUGUUGAAAAAAUGUGACCCUUCUUUGUCAUCUUCUGGACAUUUCAAGAGACUAUUGUUGCCUGCAGGUGAUUUCGUCGAUAACUUAAAAAGUGUUAAGGAUUAAUUUUACUUGGGUGAAAUUAGAAUUGAUACUUCAAUUUGGAAGAGCAUUAGUUUAGGAACAAAAUAAGCAAAAAAUAUUUAUAGGUUAUAGAGCUCCUUUUUGAGAUAUUUGGAUUUUAAAAAUGACGGGAAAGGUUGAUUCCGACUUUUACUUAUAUAUACAUUGGAAUUAUCGGGGUCUCAAAUCGAAAGAAAAAUUCUAGAAUCUGUUAAAUUUUGGUAAAUGACUUUUUAUAAGCUAUUCAAGACUUAUAUGAAAAGAAAAAUUGGUGUUAUGGGGCAAAAUAUUUUACCCUGUUUUCAAGGGGAAAAAACAAGGAGUACGAACAUCUGACACAAAUUCCCAAACCUCACCUAAGUACAUCCUUUAGGAACUUCGUAUUUUAUUUCCCCUGUGGCAGUUUUGCUCUCUUUGAAAGAUUAUGUAUGCGUAUACUAGUAUUAUAUAUGUGUUUGUAUUUCUUCGAUACUCGUUUUACCUUGCGCUAACACUAUAAAUUUACUGUUUCUGAUUCGUAUCUAGACUACAACAAUAACGACAUGUUACUGGACAAAAUCCUUAUAUUGCUGUUUUUUUUUUUUUUUUUUAUUUAUUUCUUAUUGCUUAUGAAUUUGCUUAUAACCUAACGCUAGUGUGUGGUCAAUUAUGAUAAGAAGCCGCAAAUUCUAAUUUUAGAGUCUUUGUUGCACGGUUGUAAACUGAUCAAACACUACAUACGACCAACCGCACUCAAGGACUAGAGCACUACUACGAGGCCAUAUAUACAAUGUAUGUGUUAUGAAUUUAAAUUCAAAUCUGAACAUUCCUAAUCACAGGCUCUUUCGGGCAUUACAAAAUUUGACACGAUCGUUCAAACUAUCAUACCUACCUAUUUUACUCCGCUCUCUCUCUUUGAUUAUAUGCAUAGAGAGAUCAAUUAAUAAAAUGUUGUAUAAUAAUCUGCACAAUUUUAGAACUCUAUAGUCUAUGAGUCAGAUAUAAAUGCAAUUAUGUCAAUACAUCUUUUACAGCUACUAAUUCGCCUGAACAGCAAACAAAGGUAGCAUUUACAGCAGCUUUAACACAUGAAACCAGCCUUGGAGAACUUCAACCUGUUGAAUACGACAAAGUCAUCUCAAAUAUAGGAAACGCUUUUGAUGCUCGUCAUGGUCAUUUUACAGCACCAGUUAAAGGCGUAUAUAUUCUGUCAGGUUCCAUUUUUAACGAGAAAGGUCAUACAAUGCAUAUGGAAAUGGUGAAAAACGGAGUUCAACUUGUCGCUUUCUAUGCAGAUCCAGAUGUUUAUUCCAUGGGAAGUCAAACUAUUGUUAUUGCCCUAGAAGCAAACGAUAUGGUCUGGAUAAGACAUUUUUUAACUACUGGAUCUGCUUCAAUAUAUGGCAGACCUAAACAACCAAUUAACACUUUCUCUGGUGCAUUACUUUUUCAACUUUGAAAACCUUUCAGCAAACUUAACUUGUUUAAACUAUAACUGUAGAACAUUGUUACUUUUGAAGCCUAUUUUUUCAAGAUAAGUUUAACUUGUAAUUCAAUAUGAAUA